AGCGAACGCUGGCGGCAGGCUUAACACAUGCAAGUCGAGCGGGCACUUCGGUGUCAGCGGCAGACGGGUGAGCAACACGUGGGAACGUACCCUUUGGUUCGGAAUAACGCUGGGAAACUAGCGCUAAUACCGGAUAUGCCCUUUACGGGAAAGGCUGGCUGCGGAAGGAUCGGCCCGCGUCUGAUUAGCUGGUUGGUGGGGUAAUGGCCUACCAAGGCGACGAUCAGUAGCUGGUCUGAGAGGAUGAUCAGCCACACUGGGACUGAGACACGGCCCAGACUCCUACGGGAGGCAGCAGUGGGGAAUAUUGGACGAUGGGCGCAAGCCUGAUCCAGCCAUGCCGCGUGAGUGAUGAAGGCCUUAGGGUUGUAAAGCUCUUUUGUCCGGGACGAUAAUGACGGUACCGGAAGAAUAAGCCCCGGCUAACUUCGUG
RNAcentral lists this ribosomal RNA (433 nucleotides) under uncultured bacterium. RNAcentral describes it as "partial 16S ribosomal RNA". It matches the Rfam family "Bacterial small subunit ribosomal RNA", at positions 29 to 507 of the family's 1533-position model. The record is from RNAcentral.